Mus musculus (house mouse) is the source of this 5483-nucleotide long non-coding RNA. RefSeq annotates it as RIKEN cDNA 4921515G04 gene. The transcript has 2 exons. The record is from RefSeq and is marked validated. NCBI's taxonomy places the organism in Eukaryota, Metazoa, Chordata, Mammalia, Rodentia, Muridae.
UCCACCUGCCUCCCAAGUGCUAGGAUUAAAAGUGUGUGCCACGCACUACCGGGCAAGAACCACUUUUCUAAAUAAGCCCUCACUUAUCCAUGUUCCUGUAAACAACUACAAGAAACUAGUUCACCAAGCAAGACUUGGAUACAACUGUUUCUUUGAUCUUUCAUCAGCACCCUACCUCAGUUAAGCUGAUGUUGUUCAUGUUUCCCCAGGAAAAUAACAAAGCAUAGAGAAAGGUGUUUUGAGGAGAACCUGUAUUACAGUGACUUGCUUGGCUAUUUUUUCAAGUAGAAACAUUUCCUCCUGGACUUAUAAGUCUCAAAAAGCUAAUGAAAUGCAACUUGAUUAGAAAUCUCUUAAUGUUAGGUGAUUAACAAUACCCCUCCCCCAGGUUAGUAAUAAAGAAUUACUGGAGAGAAGACAGACUUCUGGGUGGGACAGCUUACAAAUUAUACACUGAGCUCCAGGGAUGCAACACAGAGGAGCUGUCACCCAUUCAAAGGUAAGACUUUCCAUAUGCAGGUGCCUGUGAGACCCUUGCUCCUAUAGUUGAUUCUAAUGUACUCACUAGCUCCCCAAGCCUGACUUGUGGCAUCAUUUUUUUCAUCUACCGUCCGUGUCUAGAGUAAAUGGGUGUUUGUUCCCAUCUUCCCCAGAAAGAGUCACACAACAAAAUGAAGUGAUGGUUAGCAUGAAUCUCAGAUUAUGGCAAUCAACUGUAUACUGUGAUCCUUAAAGCAACUACUAAAAGAAUAACUCAAAAAUAAUUUGGAAUCAAAAGUAUAAGAUAAGACUAGAAAACCUCUACUACUUCAUACAAAAGUACAAGGCAAAAGGACACCUGAAGAACAAAAAUGAUGUAAGACACAGAAAGUAAUUUGAAAAUAGAUGAAAAUCCAACCAUAUAAGCACUAAAUAUAAGUGAAUUAAACACUCCAACAAAAACACAGGUUGUCAGACAAUUUAAAAAUAUAGUAGGAUGUGAAUAUAUACUAUUUACAAAAUAAAUACUUCAGAUAUAAAAAUAUAAAUAAAAAAGCAAAAUAUAUAUUGUCCUAGUUUGUUUUCUAUUGCUGUGAUAAAACACUGAAGAAAACCAACUUGGAGAGGAAAGGUUUAUUGGCUCAUAUGUUAUAGGCCAUCAUGGAAAGAAAGGAAGUCAAGGCAGAAACCUGGAGACAGGAACUAAACGCUACUUACUGGCUUUCUACCCCUGAUUUGCUCAGCUACUUUUCUUAUAUAGCCAGACUCACCUGCCUAGGGAUGGGACUGCCCAUAGUAAGCCAGGCCUUCCUCUAUCAGUUAGCAAUUAAGAAAAUGCCCUCAAAGGCAUGCUGGCCAAUCUAAUGAAGGCAAUUCCUGACUGAGCUUCCUCCACCCAAGUGUAUCAAGUAGACAAAAUAAUGCAUCACUUAUAUCAUGCAAAUAUCAACUACAAAAAGCUAAAGUAACUACACUACUAGCAGGCAAGACAGACAUCAUAAGAGAGGGAAAAAUAAUGUUACUAAAGACCCAAAUAGUUAGAGACCAGCCUGGACGCCAUAAAACCCUAACCAAAAAUCCAAUAUGGAUAGGCCUAAGUAACAGUUUACUAACAAAACCUACGCACCUGAGUUCAGAUCCCUUAGCUAAUGCUUUAAAAUAAAUAAAUAAAUAAAAAUAAAAUAGGCAUAGCCAUUUUAUUCAUAGCACUAGGGGCCUGAAGAGAGCCAGGAGGAUUGCUGGGAUUUGUGUGAUGUCUAUCAGUCUAGCUCCAGGUUCUGUAGAGAUUCUGUCUAAACAGAUACGGUGGAGAGUGACAGAGCAUUACACAAGUACACCAUUAUGCAUGGACACAACUGGCCCUCUGGCCCUCACACACAAAUGCAGAGGUUCAAACACACAUAUACCUUAUAAACAUAUGCCAUGCUCACAGACACUACAUACACACACACACACACACACACACACACACACACACACACUCAUUGCCACACCAAAUAAACCAAAACUGGUCAAACAGGACACUUAAUAGUGAUUAAAAAGAUUAAUUCAGGAAGAUCAGAUAAAAUAUGCAAGAAAAGAGCCACAAAAUACACAAAGCAAAAUCUAGCAAAACUGAAAAAAGAAAAGGACACUUCAAAAAUAAUACCAGGAGCUGGAAAAAUGGCUCAGUGGUUAAGAACAGUUGAACCUGGAGAGCCAGGUUCAAUUCCAGCAUCCACAUGGCAGCGCACAAUCAUCUUUAACUCCAGGGAUCUGACACCUCUUUGACUUCCAAGGACAAGAGGAACACAUGUAGUACAUAGACAUACAUGCAGACAAAACAUUCAUACACCUUAAAUAAAUUUUUUAAAGUAAAAAUAAAGAAAUAAUAGUGGAUGGUUGGCAAGAUAGCUCAGCAGGUCAGGUUUAGUGCCUGUGAGCUUCUGGGUUCAAUACUCAGAGCCAAAAGCAACAUAAAAUAAAUUCCCACACAACAAUUAGGAAAGGCAAAUAUUCACAUUCUCAAGAAACCCAGAGAAUUUACAAAAGAUAUCCACAUAACCAGCCAAUACAUAUAGAAAUAUUCAAAUAAAAUACAAUGGCACAUCACUACACAUCCAUCAGAAAGCCAAAGAUUUAAAGCAACAAACAUACCAAGUAGGAGAAAAAUUGGGAAAUAUUUAAAACCAUAAGUAAGACUGUAAAUUAAUACACUCUGUUAAACUAUUAACAAUACAUAUUGAAAUCAGACAUGUGCCUACCUCCUAGAUAUACUUUAGGGAAACUAAUGCUUAUGUAUAUAAAUAUGCACACAAGAGAUUGUUCAUAGACACAUUAUGUUCAUAGCCAGCAAUAUAAAGAAGUGAAAGUUCUACUGACAGAACAGAUAAACUGUGACAUCUUACAAAAUGGAAUACAAAAGCAACACAAAGAACAAGCUGCUGCUGACUCAGCACUAUGGGUUCAUCAAAACAGCAGCAGCAGCAGGAGGAGGAGGAGGAGGAGGAAGAGGAAAAGGAGGAGGAAGAAGAGGAAAAGGAAGAGGAGGAGGAGGGAGAAGAAAGCACCAGUAGCUGCUAGGCAGAAAUCACUUCUAUUUACCUGAAGCUCAAUAGGUUAAAACCCAAACACCUCCUUCACGAAAAUCUAACUGCUAUGGCAUGCGGCUCAGCAGCAGAAGGCCUGGCCAGCAUGCAGGCAGUGCUAAGUCCAGUCCUUCAUCUGAGUAACACAAAAGUGCAGAAAUGAGACCAGCAGUGUCUUGGGAGUCUGGUGUGGUGGGCACACAGGUACAUCUUGUAGGGUGCUAGAGACACCCCUGCCUUCAUCAUGAUGGUGAAUUCACAGGUAUUUCCAUACUUAAAGUUCAACAAUCAUACUUAGGAUUUGUUCUCAUUUUUAAAAACUAAAAUGAAAAUAUCAAAGACAUCCAAUAACGUUUGCAGAAAAUGGGGAAAGCUGGUUUUCUUAGUGCUUUGUCUGGAUUAUCCAAUAACAAGAGUACGCCAUGAAAAGUAUUGAUAACCAUCCCCCCCAUCAGCUCAAGCCUCUCCUACAAAGCAGCUGCUCUCUGGCUCUUGCGCUCCCGCAGAUAAUGUGUAUACACAUAGCUCAAGCAUAUGAGAAGUACUUGGCAUAUGUCAUUGAUAAAUGUGACAGGCUAUGUCUAUCAAGACGAAGAUGUUCCGAUGGCAGCUGUACUGCUUACCUGUUCCAGAACGUCCAACUUUAACUCGAGUUUGCUGAGAACCACGUCCCCACCCCAUAGUGAAAGCUGGAGAUCUGAAGGUUUUAAGUUCUUGAUAUAGCGAUUCACAUAACUCAUUAAAAUUGGAGUUACGUACGACUCCAGCAUCUUCAAAUUUAAGCGUCGAAGUCAGAUCCUGAAAAGGGUAAAGACGGAAAUUUUGUAAGUAACUGAAUCGACAGGCAGCAACUGGAAAUGCACUUCUCAGGAAGCUUGGCAAGGCCGCUCUCCCGGAUCGCCCGCCCGCCCUCCGGGUCCGGGCGCGAGCUCCCCGCUAACUGAGCGCCUCACCUGACGAGGAGUAGGCAGAGAGGCUGGAGGCGGCCGGCCCCCGGGCGUGGGAGGACAGCACGUCCUGCUUCACUCCUACCCUAGCGCAGCCCAGCCAGAGGCGGUCGACUCCCGGAACGCAGGCGGAUCUCCGGCCAUAGGACCGAGCUGGCGUCAGGCCCGCUGCUGCCGCCGCCGCCGCACCCGCUCCAAGGUAAACACGCCACAGAGCGGCGGCGUGCGCUCUUCCUCCGGGUACCUGGCGUCCGCCGCGGAAACGCCUCACGCGUUCCGCGCCACUUCCGGGUGUGCGGGCUUCGCCGUCCGUCAGGUUUCCGCGGUGGGGACAAGGACCCCGCGCGUCUGCCUGCCUGGGACGACUCCGGCUUGGCUAGGCCGGGAUCCCCGCUGCCACCGCUCUGGGUUAGGAAUUAACUCUACGAAGAGCUCGGUGCGGGAUGCGGACCGGUAAAGUGGAAGCACCGGCGAUCCGGAAGUGGCGCUGCAGGGACACGGCGAUGGCCGGGACGUGACCCAAUACUGCCCAAGAGGCUUAGUAGUCGGAGGCGGCAGGAACGCAGGGUGCCGUGGAGGCGGGAGAAGUAGCCUUCGUUCUUCAAGCCCAGAAAAUUGAGAAACGGUUGUUUUCCGUGGCUACUGGAAGAACUGGAAAGAGGAACUGGGAUUCGGUAGGGUGGAGGUCAAAGACAGGUGGGAGGAGCUAAGAAAGGCGGAAGAUUUAAAUUUACUGCUGAAGUUUUUUUGCAAGGCCGGGAAAGUGGACGUGGGUACACAGUUGAGAUCAGGGGUGAACAGCUUAAAAGAGUGAGCUUAAACCAUACUGUACAUAAUCUCGUUCUCAAAGCAGAGGUGAAAUAGCCCCUAGUUAGUGUGCAUAGGGUGCAUGGAAUGGAGAGGACUGGCCUACCGUCUAAUAUGGAGGUCCCCAAAAAGCUGAGAGAAUGUGAAAAUAAGAGUCCUGAGCCAAAAGUGAAAUAAGUGGUAAGGACAGUGUGGAUUAUGUUACGAUGAAAUAGAUGUAUAGAUGUUAGUAGUGGUAACUUGUGGGCUAACAGCAAUAACUCAAACAUCUACCUUAGAAGAUAAUAGACUGAGUGGAUAGAAAUAGCAUGGGAUAUGCUGCCUUUUUUUUUUUUUUAAACCAGCCUCUCUUAAUUUUAGGUAACUUUUGAAGAAAACAUAGUGUCUUGAAAAUAGUUUUCCUUUAUAGGUUAUUCAAUGCCCACUCAUAAAACUUUUGAAAUUAAAAAAAAAUACUAUUUCUUGAGAGAAUUGGAGAUUGCUAUAGAAAAUGGUAUUCGUGAGACUGCCAAAGUUCAUUUUAAUAGUGAAAAUAAUGAAUUAGAUUUCGCAGGCAGAAAAAACAGCAAGCAAUUGCUAAUUCACAGCAGCUGCUUCCUCAAAAGCCUUAAUAAAUGACCAUGUAAUGUGAAUGUUAUGAAAGCCUAAUUAGCAAAAUAAACAUUUUUCUUGUUACCCAAAA